UGAGCAACCUGCCCUUAGCUCUGGGAUAACCCCGGGAAACCGGGGCUAAUACCGGAUACGAGUCCGAGCGGCAUCACGCGGACUGGAAAGUUUUUCGGCUAAGGAUGGGCUCGCGGCCUAUCAGCUUGUUGGUGGGGUAAUGGCUUACCAAGGCGACGACGGGUAGCCGGCCUGAGAGGGUGACCGGCCACACUGGGACUGAGACACGGCCCAGACUCCGUACGGGAGGCA
This 231-nucleotide ribosomal RNA is filed under the name uncultured bacterium. RNAcentral's name for it is "partial 16S ribosomal RNA". It matches the Rfam family "Bacterial small subunit ribosomal RNA", at positions 118 to 350 of the family's 1533-position model. The record is from RNAcentral.